CACGGAAACCGAUUCAGUCUGCUCUCUCGCAUCGACCAAACUAACGAGCACCAUUUUAAACUGAUGACUGUUUGUUUAAAUUCUGUUUUACAUGACUUGGACGGCAAACCUUUGAGAGUUGCCAAAGUUGGAUUUACUUUUUGCCACUUCAGGCAGUCCCAGCGGUGAUCCCGUGAACAUGGAAAGUCUGUAAAUAAAAUACCCCGCAAGGUACUGGCUUAUCGAGGACCCAGUUUUGCUUCAAAUGAAACUGCUGCUGAAGUGCCCAUCGGCCAAGCAGAUUAAAUCCCAUCUGUCCCAGUGGAGCUGUACGGUGACCAUCAGUACAACAGUGCAGUUGUACCAGGCACUUGUGAUAUGUGUCUCUUUGAGCCCCUCACUUUUCCUUUUGAAAGAGAAGAGUGGGCAGUCCGCUUGCUUCACACUUUUUUUUUCAUGCACUCAGAGAGAAAAAGUUUGGGAGAAGAAAGAAGAGAGAAAGUCGUAGCAGCAUUCAGUCUCGAGCCAGACGUGGCUCACAUGUGGCCCCAAAGGCAGCAGACAGUGUAUUGAAUUACUGUAACUCAAGGUGUAAUGUGGUAGCAGUGGGGGAUAUGUAAAAACUACACAAACGGAUGUAGUGGAGGCUUACUUCAGCUUCAGCUUACCGUUACAGCUAUUCAGUGUUAAAGUGUGUUGUUUCUGUUCUUGAAGGUCAUUUACAGUCAUUUAUAGCUAUAACAGCAGCUUACGUUCUCAAGUGAUAAUCAGCCAGUAUUUGAUUAACCAAUUAUUUCAAACUGCUUCUGUUUUAAAAGCCUUGUAUCUCCAGUUUAGUGAUUUUCGUAUAUGUUCCUUCCUUCCUGAAUAACUUUACUGUUUGUAGCAUGAGGUCUCGCAUUUGUGAGAUCUCGGAAAUACACAGUUUUUAUGUGAUGGUCUACCACGUAAAGUUAUGAGAUAACCAGUUAAGCAUUAAUGUUUUAUAUGUUAGUCAAGAAGUUAAUUAAAUAGUAUUGUGUAUAAUAUCAAUUUGCAACAUUUACCACUAAUAAAGUUUUAAGAUAUGAGCUGUGUUUUGACUGCUUUUCUCUUUAUAGCACCUACUGUAUCAUACAUGUUAAGAAUGAGGUUUUCCAGUUUUACUGUGAUUGUUUGCCUUAAAUGUAUAAGCUAUCAGUGUCUUGCUCUAGUAAUUUGGCAGGAUGCUUGGUUUUUUGGUGCUUUUAAGGUGCUAACGAUACUCACUGAAAUUAAGAUAAUAAAGUCCUAUUCAUUUUAUAUUUGAAUGAUAUUCCUGUGGCAUUAAUGUAAAAAACAAUUACAAUAUCCUAUACGCAUCUCUGGUAAUUUAAUGAUUAGGAGUAAGGUACAAAUUAAGGAACGUUUUGAUUAUCCAACUACAGCUUCUGCAGUUUUACCCUAAGUUUCAAAACUGAGAAGCAUUUGUCAGUUUUGAGAUUUAUGUGACUUACAGGGUUUCAACACAGUCGCACAUAAGCUGUAGCUGUGCAAUAUAACUUGGACCACUUUUGAACACAAGAAAUGCAGACUGAGAAAUCAAUCCAGAGUAAAUGUUCUGUCAUCAAAAUGCACGUCAUUGUAAAAGCACUGCAGUCACUGAUACUGUAACUAUGACCAAAACCAGCAGUCCAUGAAUAUCGACAAUUUUAACCACAUCUCCACAGACACAUAUUCAGCAUUUGUUACCAAAACAUGUUCUAUAAUAGCAAAUAUUGCAAUGCAAUUUUUUUAAAGUCACAUUUAAUCCACAUUUGUUCAGUGGUCUAUAAGGGAGGGAAUAAACGCAAGAUGGAACGUGAGUGGGAUCUGGAAAGACCUCCACAUCCGUAAUGACUCGACAUAAGAAGAAGAAAAUUUCAUGACUUUGAGAGUGAAAGCCAUUUGAAACCAAAAAUCACGCAUUGUUUGUCUCAGUUACUUUAUCUUCACACGAGGACAUACAGGAGUUACUUUUAGCUUUAUUUUAGAACGUGAGCCGCAACACUUACUGAGUUGAAUAUUAGAGUUGUUUUUCUCACAAUAAAUUGAGAGGGGAGUUGUAAAAAUGUUGUGAUAAUGUGCAGAGGUUGAAAAAAAUAAUGUCUUAUUGUGAUCUGAAAUAUAUGUUGAACAGUGUGUAUUUGAUAUACAAAGUUUUUAGAUCAGUGUGUAGCAACUAUAUUUCGCCACUUCUUAUUCGCUAAUGUAUGAAGGUUAGGAUGAGCAUUUUGUUAUUAAUGCAAACUCUUGAACAUACUACUAGAAGUCACAAAACACUAAAUGAAUUCAGUAUGUAGUACUUCAAGCUGUGCAGUAGCGGGAUGAUUGCCCAAAGGUAAAAGUGCAUCUUCUAAAUGUGAACUGUGAAAAUAAACGAGCAAACAACUGUAAUGUUAAACAAACUGACUGAAAAUAACUAUAGAAAUAAAAACUCUAAAUGCCUGAAGAUA
Molecule: non-coding RNA, 2432 nt
Organism: Maylandia zebra (zebra mbuna)
Lineage: Eukaryota; Metazoa; Chordata; Actinopteri; Cichliformes; Cichlidae
Source: RefSeq, a predicted model, not a curated record